GAUGAACGCUAGCGGCAGGCUUAAUACAUGCAAGUUGAACGGGAUUCGAGUAGCAAUACUUGAUGAGAGUGGCGCACGGGUGCGUAACACGUAUGCAACCUACCUUUAACUGGCGAAUAGCCCCGGGAAAUCGGGAUUAAUACGCCAUAAGAUCACGAAAGGGCAUCCUUUAGUAAUUAAAGAAUUUCGGUUAGAGAUGGGCAUGCGGGACAUUAGCUAGUUGGUGAGGUAACGGCUCACCAAGGCAACGAUGUCUAGGGGUCCUGAGAGGGUUAUCCCCCACACUGGUACUGAGACACGGACCAGACUCCUACGGGAGGCAGCAGUAAGGAAUAUUGGUCAAUGGGCGCAAGCCUGAACCAGCCAUGCCGCGUGCAGGAAGACGGCCCUAUGGGUUGUAAACUGCUUUUGUCAGGGAAUAAAUGAUGGUACGUGUACUGUCUUGAAGGUACCUGAAGAAUAAGCAUCGGCUAACUCCGUGCCAGCAGCCGCGGUAAUACGGAGGAUGCAAGCGUUAUCCGGAUUCAUUGGGUUUAAAGGGUGCGCAGGCGGAUUGGUAAGUCAGGGGUGAAAUCCCACAGCUCAACUGUGGAACUGCCUUUGAUACUGUCAGUCUAGAGUAUAGUUGAAGUUGGCGGAGUGUGUCAUGUAGCGGUGAAAUGCUUAGAUAUGACACAGAACACCGAUCGC
Molecule: ribosomal RNA, 690 nt
Filed under: uncultured Sphingobacteriales bacterium
Lineage: Bacteria; Pseudomonadati; Bacteroidota; Sphingobacteriia; Sphingobacteriales
Description: bacterial SSU rRNA
Rfam family: Bacterial small subunit ribosomal RNA
Source: RNAcentral